UCGCCUGUUUAUCAAAAACAUGUCUUUAUGAUAAUAAUUUAAAGUCUGACCUGCCCACUGAAUUGGAUUUAAAGGGCCGCGGUAUUUUGACCGUGCAAAGGUAGCAUAAUCAUUAGUCUUUUAAUUGGAGGCUGGAAUGAAUGGUUGGACGAGGCAUUGACUGUCUCAAUAUGAAUGUUAUUAGAAUUUAACUUUUAAGUUAAAAGGCUUAAAUUUAUUUAAAGGACGAGAAGACCCUAUAGAGCUUUAUAAUUAAAAAUUAUAUUUUAUUUGGGAGAAUUUAUAUUAUAAUUUGUCAAUUAUUUUGUUGGGGUGACAGGAAGAUAGAUAAAACUCUUUUUAAAUUUUUGACCAUUGAUUUAUGAAUUGUUGAUCCAUUAUUAGUGAUUAUAAGACUAAGUUACCUUAGGGAUAACAGCGUAAUUUUUUUUGAGAGUUCUUAUCGACAAAAAAGGUUGCGACCUCGAUGUUGGAUUAAGGGUAAUUUUGGGUGUAGAUGUUCAAAGUUUAGGUCUGUUCGACCUUUAGAUCCUUACAUGAUCUGAGUUCAAACCGGAGA
RNAcentral lists this ribosomal RNA (559 nucleotides) under Alloperla severa. RNAcentral's name for it is "partial 16S ribosomal RNA". It matches the Rfam family "Bacterial large subunit ribosomal RNA", at positions 1796 to 2622 of the family's 2925-position model. The record is from RNAcentral. Lineage: Eukaryota; Metazoa; Arthropoda; Insecta; Plecoptera; Chloroperlidae.